Molecule: RNase P RNA, 337 nt
Filed under: Sphenodon punctatus (tuatara)
Lineage: Eukaryota; Metazoa; Chordata; Lepidosauria; Sphenodontia; Sphenodontidae
Description: Nuclear RNase P (ENSSPUG00000010378.1)
Rfam family: Nuclear RNase P
About the family: Ribonuclease P (RNase P) is a ubiquitous endoribonuclease, found in archaea, bacteria and eukarya as well as chloroplasts and mitochondria. Its best characterised activity is the generation of mature 5'-ends of tRNAs by cleaving the 5'-leader elements of precursor-tRNAs. Cellular RNase Ps are ribonucleoproteins.
Source: Rfam by way of RNAcentral
GUCAGAGGGAAGCUCUUCAGUGAGGCCACAUGCUAGGUGCUUGUCACCAUCCCCUCAAGCCUCUAGGAAGGUCUGAGAGAAGAGCCAGUGGUUGCCCUUGCAGGGUAUUACCUGAUCCAGGUGGAUGGGCUACCAGACAGGUGUGAGCCUUGAGUUGGGGAAACCCUGGGUUGGCACAAGAUGCAGGAGGAGACUGCUUUUCCUGUGGAUGCUUAUCCCCUGCCCAGGACUUGGAACAGGCUCAUGGCUAGCAGUGCUGAGUGCAAUGGGAUGAGGUGAGGUGACUGCCUUGCCUGUGCAGGCCUCACAACCCAAUUCAGACUACUCUCCCUCUGAC